This is a long non-coding RNA of Quercus robur (English oak), 496 nucleotides long. RefSeq lists it as uncharacterized. The record is from RefSeq and is a predicted model, not a curated record. NCBI's taxonomy places the organism in Eukaryota, Viridiplantae, Streptophyta, Magnoliopsida, Fagales, Fagaceae. The transcript has 4 exons.
GCCUUCACGUCCAAACCCCACAACCUCUGUGUUUUCUCAUAUACGCUGGAUCCUCCUGCCGCCGCCGUCGCCGCCACCAUGAACCGCCACUGCAUCGAUUUCUCUUUGCCUCUCCAUCGUCGUUCAAUCCAGCCCAUCAUAUUCUAUAUCGGCAAAUUAUUUUGAGAAACCAGUAGGCUGUAAUAGUUCUUCAUCGCAUGAGAGGAGAAUAGAGGCAACCCCAUUACCCUCAAAGUGUUCGGCAAAGUGCUAAGGAUUUCAUUAGUGGAAAUUCAAUUUCAUUCCAGCCAAUCUCAAUAGGGUUGUAAUGUUAACUAAUUAUGCAAGAAUGAUGAAAAGAACUGAGAAGGAAAAAGGACUUUGUUUAGGAGACUUGAAAUAGGAAAGAAGCCUAAAGGUUGCUUCUAAUGUUGCUGCACUUGGAUGAUUCAAAAAUUAUGUAGACAUGUGCUUAUGCAUUAUAUGUGAUGUUUUGUUUUGUUUUGAAAAAUUUAUA